Molecule: ribosomal RNA, 192 nt
Filed under: Triticum aestivum (bread wheat)
Lineage: Eukaryota; Viridiplantae; Streptophyta; Magnoliopsida; Poales; Poaceae
Description: partial small subunit ribosomal RNA
Source: RNAcentral
GAAUGCCCGGCUGAUGCGGACGAUGAAACAGUGCAGCAGUAUACCAGGGCAUACUUGUGGUAUGUAGUCAGCCGGACUCUUUUCUCUGACGGCACUGGCGUGAAUGCUUCCUUUAUGUGGCUUAAGCUGUUUGCUGGGUGGGAGCAUGGACUCAGUUGGGGUACGGCGGCGUUGGCUUAUUUGUAUCGUUAG